RNAcentral lists this ribosomal RNA (253 nucleotides) under Coprococcus comes ATCC 27758. Its description in RNAcentral is "partial 16S ribosomal RNA". It matches the Rfam family "Bacterial small subunit ribosomal RNA", at positions 524 to 776 of the family's 1533-position model. Lineage: Bacteria; Bacillati; Bacillota; Clostridia; Lachnospirales; Lachnospiraceae. The record is from RNAcentral.
UACGUAUGGUGCAAGCGUUAUCCGGAUUUACUGGGUGUAAAGGGAGCGUAGACGGUGAUGUAAGUCUGAAGUGAAAGCCCGGGGCUCAACCCCGGGACUGCUUUGGAAACUAUGUGACUAGAGUGUCGGAGAGGCAAGUGGAAUUCCCAGUGUAGCGGUGAAAUGCGUAGAUAUUGGGAGGAACACCAGUGGCGAAGGCGGCUUGCUGGACGAUAACUGACGUUGAGGCUCGAAAGCGUGGGGAGCAAACAGG